Molecule: long non-coding RNA, 260 nt
Filed under: Hordeum vulgare
Lineage: Eukaryota; Viridiplantae; Streptophyta; Magnoliopsida; Poales; Poaceae
Description: long non-coding RNA (HVUL_LNC006438)
Source: RNAcentral
UAUCUAUCCAGAACAUCUCGCCGGUAUUAAGUUACGAGCCCCACCCAAAUUGUAAACUCAAAGCAACAGACAACUGCAUUAACGAACUAUGUUGGGGAACGUCGCAUGGGAAACAAACAAUUUCCUACGUGCACGAAAACCUAUCAUGGUGAUGUCCAUCUAUGAGAGGGGAUUUCCGAUCUACAUACCUUUGUAGAUCGCACAGCAGAAGUGUUAGUGAAUGCGGUUGAUGUAGUGGAACGUCCUCACGUCCCUCGAUC